RNAcentral lists this ribosomal RNA (453 nucleotides) under uncultured bacterium. RNAcentral describes it as "bacterial SSU rRNA". It matches the Rfam family "Bacterial small subunit ribosomal RNA", at positions 340 to 786 of the family's 1533-position model. The record is from RNAcentral.
UACGGGAGGCAGCAGUGGGGAAUAUUGCACAAUGGGCGCAAGCCUGAUGCAGCCAUGCCGCGUGUAUGAAGAAGGCCUUCGGGUUGUAAAGUACUUUCAGUCGUGAGGAAGGUGUUAAGGUUAAUAACCUUAGCAAUUGACGUUAGCGACAGAAGAAGCACCGGCUAACUCCGUGCCAGCAGCCGCGGUAAUACGGAGGGCGCGAGCGUUAAUCGGAAUUACUGGGCGUAAAGGGCACGCAGGCGGUUAAUUAAGUUGGAUGUGAAAUCCCCGGGCUUAACCUGGGAAUGGCAUUCAAGACUGGUUAGCUAGAGUCUUGUAGAGGGGGUAGAAUUCCAUGUGUAGCGGUGAAAUGCGUAGAGAUGUGGAGGAAUACCGGUGGCGAAGGCGGCCCCUGGACAAAGACUGACGCUCAUGUGCGAAAGCGUGGGGAGCAAACAGGGAUUAGAUACC